RNAcentral lists this ribosomal RNA (500 nucleotides) under Salmonella enterica. RNAcentral's name for it is "bacterial SSU rRNA". It matches the Rfam family "Bacterial small subunit ribosomal RNA", at positions 1 to 490 of the family's 1533-position model. The record is from RNAcentral. Lineage: Bacteria; Pseudomonadati; Pseudomonadota; Gammaproteobacteria; Enterobacterales; Enterobacteriaceae.
AAAUUGAAGAGUUUGAUCAUGGCUCAGAUUGAACGCUGGCGGCAGGCCUAACACAUGCAAGUCGAACGGUAACAGGAAGCAGCUUGCUGCUUUGCUGACGAGUGGCGGACGGGUGAGUAAUGUCUGGGAAACUGCCUGAUGGAGGGGGAUAACUACUGGAAACGGUGGCUAAUACCGCAUAACGUCGCAAGACCAAAGAGGGGGACCUUCGGGCCUCUUGCCAUCAGAUGUGCCCAGAUGGGAUUAGCUUGUUGGUGAGGUAACGGCUCACCAAGGCGACGAUCCCUAGCUGGUCUGAGAGGAUGACCAGCCACACUGGAACUGAGACACGGUCCAGACUCCUACGGGAGGCAGCAGUGGGGAAUAUUGCACAAUGGGCGCAAGCCUGAUGCAGCCAUGCCGCGUGUAUGAAGAAGGCCUUAGGGUUGUAAAGUACUUUCAGCGGGGAGGAAGGUGUUGCGGUUAAUAACCGCAGCAAUUGACGUUACCCGCAGAAGAAG